GGGGAGGUGCCAGAGUGGACGAUUGGGGCCGCCUGCUAAGUGGUUGUUGGAGUAAAAUCCAACCGAGGGUUCGAAUCCCUCCCUCCCCG
Molecule: non-coding RNA, 89 nt
Organism: Anaerolineae bacterium 49_20
Lineage: Bacteria; Bacillati; Chloroflexota; Anaerolineae
Source: Rfam